RNAcentral lists this unclassified non-coding RNA (241 nucleotides) under Glomus sp. Its description in RNAcentral is "partial contains 5.8S ribosomal RNA and internal transcribed spacer 2". The stretch from base 1 to 65 matches the Rfam family "5.8S ribosomal RNA", at positions 84 to 154 of the family's 154-position model. Lineage: Eukaryota; Fungi; Glomeromycota; Glomeromycetes; Glomerales; Glomeraceae. The record is from RNAcentral.
GUGAAUCAUCAAAUUUUUGAACGCAAAUUGCACUCUCUUCGGAGAGUAUGCCUGUUUGAGGGUCAGCCUAAAAAAAUCGACAUAGUCGCUGUUUCGCGGUGACAUUCGUCGGAAAUUGGGUCAACUUAAACCUUUUGGUUUUAAGCGGCUUAAAAUUUUCUUUACGAUUCCACGAACGUUUCUAAGAUUUUACUCCUCACACACGUUUACUGUAUCUAUCUAUAUUAGACGUGGCUGUUGC